Long non-coding RNA from Oreochromis aureus, 944 nucleotides. RefSeq lists it as uncharacterized. The record is from RefSeq and is a predicted model, not a curated record. Lineage: Eukaryota; Metazoa; Chordata; Actinopteri; Cichliformes; Cichlidae. The transcript is spliced from 5 exons.
UGUAAACCCCCCCAAGGCCUCCACCCUCCUGGUCUGCUAUUUAUUCCUCUCUCCCUCAGUGCUUGCAGCAAAGGCGUGCAAACAUUUCCUGUAACCCAAGCGGCAAUAUUCAACAGCUCUCCCAGUUUCUUUAACAAUAACCGACCAAAAGAUGCCAGGAUAUAUCCAAACAAGAAGCAGCUCAGGCUGGGAGAAAGAAAGUGGAAAUAAAGGGGCGAUAACAGCAAAUGUGGGAGAUGCUGGUGCCCAUGCAGUUAUGCGAGCAGGCGGAGGCAUUACUGCUAAUGCAGCUGGAGCACUUGAGAUGAUCGAUACCUUUUACUGAGGAAACUUUUGCUCGGGCUGGAACAUUUGCAGAUGCGUUUGAGGACAAACCAGGGAAGCGUCUUCCCAAAGCCGGAGCAUAUGCUGAAGCAGGAGUGGGGCACGCCCGUGCUGAAUGGAGCGUUUUUGACGCAGAGGCCAAAGGACCCAAUGCCAGCGCAGGAGCUGGAGCCUCUGUGGCCUCUGUGAGUGCCCAAGCCUUUGCCAGAGCAGAAAUAGCCAGUGCUUCGGCCUCUGCUGGUCCAUUAAAAGCUACAGUUGGUCUGGGAUUAGACACAGGAGUGGGAGUUAGUCCCACAGGUUUCGAAGCCAAGGUGCUGGGAACAGGUAUCUCCUUUGGUCGCAAAAUGGGCAUUUCUCUGUUUGGCACUGGUUUUGAAUUCAACCUGUGGUAAACUGUGCCCAGUACAGAUCUUUCUAAACCGUGCAGUGCCUUGUCUUAAAACAACAAGGCCUCAAAUCUCCAGCCACCCCUGAGAGACUUUUCUUAAUAUGCCGACAAAAACAUUAAAGUUUAGCACCAUUAGUGCCACCAGAGCAGAUACCAGGUUUGUUCUUGAGAUUUCACUCAUUGUUUAACACACAGGAAGCACAGGUCAUCCCUCCGAUCUUUAUGUAUG